ACAAUGGGGUGGUCUGUACAAUGGCUGAUGUGUACAAUGAAGUGACGUGUACAAUGUGGUGAGCUGGACAGUGGGGUGAGCUAUACAAUGGGUUGAUCUGUAGAAUGGAGUGAGCUGGACAAUGGGGCUACUCACCCCACCCACCUUGCAAAGUGAUGCAGGACAGGAAAUGGGUUAAUAGAAGCUCGGAUUUAGAAGAGUGCCUGGCACGCCUAAGGGUGAGGCUCAAGCCGUCUGUGUAAUUAUCUUAAACUUUUUCAUUUCGGAAAUGAAACAGCUCCUCCCUUCACCGCCACCUUGGCUAUUUCUGGGACCAAAGGAAUCCUUGAAGCUGACCGGGCAGGAGAGUCCACGCUGGGAGUAAAAUCACUACAAACUGUCCAUCAGAAGGCCCCUGCUGAGUAGUUGGCAGGGUGGCUGCACAUAAUGGAAAGCACAUAAGCUUGAAGCCAGACAGAUGGGAGUUCUAACCCCAGCCCUGCCACUUAUUCCCAGGUGACACUGAGUGGAAAUUAGGCCAAAAUAAAUACUACUUUCUGCUUAAAAAAAUGCAGUGAUGUCCAAAGAGAAGGGAGGAGGAAGGAUGAAAGGAAAGACAGAGGAGGAAGGAAGAGAAGAAAGAAGAGUGGCCGGCACAAGGGCUUGGAGAUCCCUGAAGCUGUUUUCCUUUCUCCUCACCCCCACAGGGAGGGAUCCACAUCGUUGUGGGGUUUUUGUUGUUGUUGUUUUUGUUUUUGUUUUUUUGCCUCCCUUCAUCAAAGCAUUCAUUGUAGUGUAUGGUAAUUGUCUCUGAAUGUAACAGCCUCUCUUCCCUGAGGCCUGGGUCUGCUUGUUUCAUACCAUCUUCUCCUUAACACACAGUGCUUGGUAAACAAUACCUAUUAAUAAACAUUUGUUGAAUGAAUGAAUGAGUGAAUGAACGAAUACUGCACUCUUUCGACUUGGUUAGAGACAUGUCUUGUAGGCUGGCAUGUACUUCACACAGCACUCUUAGGUAGAGUUUGUAUAUGUUAUUCCAUUGAAGGGAAAAGGAAGCCAGAC
This 1041-nucleotide long non-coding RNA is filed under the name Homo sapiens (human). RNAcentral describes it as "non-protein coding lnc-STX18-1:3". The record is from RNAcentral. Lineage: Eukaryota; Metazoa; Chordata; Mammalia; Primates; Hominidae.